RNAcentral lists this ribosomal RNA (487 nucleotides) under uncultured bacterium. RNAcentral describes it as "bacterial SSU rRNA". It matches the Rfam family "Bacterial small subunit ribosomal RNA", at positions 501 to 989 of the family's 1533-position model. The record is from RNAcentral.
CUACGUGCCAGCAGCCGCGGUAAUACGGAGGGUGCGAGCGUUAAUCAGAAUAACUGGGCGUAAAGGGCACGCAGGCGGCUAUUUAAGUGAGGUGUGAAAUCCCCGGGCUUAACCUGGGAAUUGCAUUUCAGACUGGGUAGCUAGAGUACUUUAGGGAGGGGUAGAAUUCCACGUGUAGCGGUGAAAUGCGUAGAGAUGUGGAGGAAUACCGAAGGCGAAGGCAGCCCCUUGGGAAUGUACUGACGCUCAUGUGCGAAAGCGUGGGGAGCAAACAGGAUUAGAUACCCUGGUAGUCCACGCUGUAAACGCUGUCGAUUUGGGGAUUGGGCCUUGAGCUUGGUGCCCGAAGCUAACGUGAUAAAUCGACCGCCUGGGGAGUACGGCCGCAAGGUUAAAACUCAAAUGAAUUGACGGGGGCCCGCACAAGCGGUGGAGCAUGUGGUUUAAUUCGAUGCAACGCGAAGAACCUUACCUACUCUUGACAUCC